This 466-nucleotide ribosomal RNA is filed under the name uncultured bacterium. RNAcentral describes it as "bacterial SSU rRNA". It matches the Rfam family "Bacterial small subunit ribosomal RNA", at positions 28 to 507 of the family's 1533-position model. The record is from RNAcentral.
GAUGAACGCUGGCGGCGUGCCUAACACAUGCAAGUCGAACGGUGACGAGGAGCUUGCUCCUCUGAUCAGUGGCGAACGGGUGAGUAACACGUGAGCAACCUGCCCCAGACUCUGGGAUAACAGUUGGAAACAGCUGCUAAUACCGGAUACGAGACGGAGAGGCAUCUCUACCGUCUGGAAAGUUUUUCGGUCUGGGAUGGACUCGCGGCCUAUCAGCUAGUUGGUGAGGUAAUGGCUCACCAAGGCGACGACGGGUAGCCGGCCUGAGAGGGCGACCGGCCACACUGGGACUGAGACACGGCCCAGACUCCUACGGGAGGCAGCAGUGGGGAAUAUUGCACAAUGGGCGAAAGCCUGAUGCAGCGACGCCGCGUGAGGGAUGACGGCCUUCGGGUUGUAAACCUCUUUCAGCAGGGAAGAAGCGAAAGUGACGGUACCUGCAGAAGAAGCACCGGCUAACUACGUG